CCCUACGGGAGGCAGCAGUGGGGAAUAUUGCACAAUGGGGGGAACCCUGAUGCAGCGACGCCGCGUGGGUGAAGGAGUAUUUCCGUAUGUAAAGCCCUAUCAGCAGGGAAGAACAAUGACGGUACCUGACUAAGAAGCACCGGCUAAAUACGUGCCAGCAGCCGCGGUAAUACGUAUGGUGCAAGCGUUAUCCGGAUUUACUGGGUGUAAAGGGAGCGUAGACGGCAUGGCAAGUCAGAUGUGAAAGCCCGGGGCUCAACCCCGGGACUGCAUUUGAAACUGUCAGGCUGGAGUGCAGGAGAGGG
This 305-nucleotide ribosomal RNA is filed under the name uncultured bacterium. Its description in RNAcentral is "bacterial SSU rRNA". It matches the Rfam family "Bacterial small subunit ribosomal RNA", at positions 337 to 658 of the family's 1533-position model. The record is from RNAcentral.